Molecule: ribosomal RNA, 253 nt
Filed under: uncultured bacterium
Lineage: Bacteria
Description: partial 16S ribosomal RNA
Rfam family: Bacterial small subunit ribosomal RNA
Source: RNAcentral
UACGUAGGGUGCGAGCGUUAAUCGGAAUUACUGGGCGUAAAGCGUGCGCAGGCGGUUCGUUAAGUUCGAUGUGAAAGCCCCGGGCUCAACCUGGGAAUUGCAUUGAAAACUGGCGGGCUUGAGUGUGGCAGAGGGGGGUGGAAUUCCACGUGUAGCAGUGAAAUGCGUAGAGAUGUGGAGGAACACCGAUGGCGAAGGCAGCCCCCUGGGCUAACACUGACGCUCAGGCACGAAAGCGUGGGGAGCAAACAGG